RNAcentral lists this long non-coding RNA (757 nucleotides) under Homo sapiens (human). RNAcentral describes it as "HSALNT0350728". Lineage: Eukaryota; Metazoa; Chordata; Mammalia; Primates; Hominidae. The record is from RNAcentral.
GGUUGAUGACACAGAGCGCACGAGGGCGGCAGUGGUCACGCGCCUGGCCCAGUGCACGGUGAAGCUCGGCCACGUCCAGCGCCCAGGCACGCUCCUCGUCCAGAUGCCUGGAGCAAAGGGGAAGGGAGGAGGCUCAUGGACCCUCCCUGCUCAGAGUUCCCCCCGCUCUACGUCCCUCUGUGUUAAAGGACACAGGCAGGGUCAGCAAAGGUGAAGGCGGGAACACAGGAGGCCGAGAGCCACAGAUACUGCCCAAGAGGAGCCUCCUGAGCGGCCAUCUGAGAGGAAGCCUCUCCCUGCCAAGGACGCCCAACAGGCCCUACCUGGCGAUGAGCAGCUCCACCAGGUGCAGGUGGCCGCAGGUGGCCGCAGCAUGCAGAGGCGUCCAGCACUCACUGUCACAGGCAUUGAUGUUGGCCCCAGCCUCCAGGAGCUGCUGCACCAUCUCUCGGAAAUCAUCAAUGCAGCACUGCAAACCGUGCCACGCCUCCCGGGAGGGCUCCUGUCCACAUGGAAAGAUGCAGGCCAGACACUGCCGGCUCCUCUUUACUCUCUGCUCCGGAGGGAGGCAGGAAGGAGUCUCAAGGGCCACCACAGUGCCUCUUCCCCCAAGACUCCAGAGCACCAGAAGUGGAACCCACACAGCUGGGGCUGCAAGCGUGGGGCACAGGUCAUUUCGGGCAGCGGCCUCCAGAAGGACAACACUGGGAGGGAAGAGGACCUGCUUCAGGAGCCCUUGGCUGGCUGCCUCCUUCCG